AGCAGCCGCGGUAAUUCCAGCUCCAAUAGCGUAUAUUAAAGUUGUUGCAGUUAAAAAGCUCGUAGUUGAAUUUCGGGAUCAGUAGGUCGGUCAUGCCUCAGGUAUGUACUGGUCUCACUGGUUCCUCCUUCCUGAUGAACCGUAAUGCCAUUAAUUUGGUGUUGCGGGGAAACUGGACUGUUACUUUGAAAAAUUAGAGUGUUUAAAGCAGGCUAACGCUUGAAUACAUUAGCAUGGAAUAAUGAAAUAGGACGUUCGAUCCUAUUUUGUUGGUUUCUAGGAUUGACGUAAUGAUUAAUAGGGAUAGUUGGGGGCAUUAGUAUUCAAUUGUCAGAGGUGAAAUUCUUGGAUUUAUUGAAGACUAACUACUGCGAAAGCAUUUGCCAAGGAUGUUUUCAUUAAUCAAGAACGAAAGUUAGGGGAUCGAAGACGAUCAGAUACCGUCGUAGUCUUAACCAUAAACUAUGC
RNAcentral lists this ribosomal RNA (468 nucleotides) under uncultured Glomus. RNAcentral's name for it is "SSU rRNA". It matches the Rfam family "Eukaryotic small subunit ribosomal RNA", at positions 569 to 1042 of the family's 1831-position model. Lineage: Eukaryota; Fungi; Glomeromycota; Glomeromycetes; Glomerales; Glomeraceae. The record is from RNAcentral.